Molecule: ribosomal RNA, 2904 nt
Filed under: Escherichia coli
Lineage: Bacteria; Pseudomonadati; Pseudomonadota; Gammaproteobacteria; Enterobacterales; Enterobacteriaceae
Description: 23S ribosomal RNA
Rfam family: Bacterial large subunit ribosomal RNA
Source: RNAcentral
GGUUAAGCGACUAAGCGUACACGGUGGAUGCCCUGGCAGUCAGAGGCGAUGAAGGACGUGCUAAUCUGCGAUAAGCGUCGGUGAGGUGAUAUGAACCGUUAUAACCGGCGAUUUCCGAAUGGGGAAACCCAGUGUGUUUCGACACACUAUCAUUAACUGAAUCCAUAGGUUAAUGAGGCGAACCGGGGGAACUGAAACAUCUAAGUACCCCGAGGAAAAGAAAUCAACCGAGAUUCCCCCAGUAGCGGCGAGCGAACGGGGAGGAGCCCAGAGCCUGAAUCAGUGUGUGUGUUAGUGGAAGCGUCUGGAAAGGCGCGCGAUACAGGGUGACAGCCCCGUACACAAAAAUGCACAUAUUGUGAGCUCGAUGAGUAGGGCGGGACACGUGGUAUCCUGUCUGAAUAUGGGGGGACCAUCCUCCAAGGCUAAAUACUCCUGACUGACCGAUAGUGAACCAGUACCGUGAGGGAAAGGCGAAAAGAACCCCGGCGAGGGGAGUGAAAAAGAACCUGAAACCGUGUACGUACAAGCAGUGGGAGCCUCUUAAUGGGGUGACUGCGUACCUUUUGUAUAAUGGGUCAGCGACUUAUAUUCUGUAGCAAGGUUAACCGAAUAGGGGAGCCGAAGGGAAACCGAGUCUUAACUGGGCGUUAAGUUGCAGGGUAUAGACCCGAAACCCGGUGAUCUAGCCAUGGGCAGGUUGAAGGUUGGGUAACACUAACUGGAGGACCGAACCGACUAAUGUUGAAAAAUUAGCGGAUGACUUGUGGCUGGGGGUGAAAGGCCAAUCAAACCGGGAGAUAGCUGGUUCUCCCCGAAAGCUAUUUAGGUAGCGCCUCGUGAAUUCAUCUCCGGGGGUAGAGCACUGUUUCGGCAAGGGGGUCAUCCCGACUUACCAACCCGAUGCAAACUGCGAAUACCGGAGAAUGUUAUCACGGGAGACACACGGCGGGUGCUAACGUCCGUCGUGAAGAGGGAAACAACCCAGACCGCCAGCUAAGGUCCCAAAGUCAUGGUUAAGUGGGAAACGAUGUGGGAAGGCCCAGACAGCCAGGAUGUUGGCUUAGAAGCAGCCAUCAUUUAAAGAAAGCGUAAUAGCUCACUGGUCGAGUCGGCCUGCGCGGAAGAUGUAACGGGGCUAAACCAUGCACCGAAGCUGCGGCAGCGACACUAUGUGUUGUUGGGUAGGGGAGCGUUCUGUAAGCCUGUGAAGGUGGCCUGUGAGGGUUGCUGGAGGUAUCAGAAGUGCGAAUGCUGACAUAAGUAACGAUAAAGCGGGUGAAAAGCCCGCUCGCCGGAAGACCAAGGGUUCCUGUCCAACGUUAAUCGGGGCAGGGUGAGUCGACCCCUAAGGCGAGGCCGAAAGGCGUAGUCGAUGGGAAACAGGUUAAUAUUCCUGUACUUGGUGUUACUGCGAAGGGGGGACGGAGAAGGCUAUGUUGGCCGGGCGACGGUUGUCCCGGUUUAAGCGUGUAGGCUGGUUUUCCAGGCAAAUCCGGAAAACCAAGGCUGAGGCGUGAUGACGAGGCACUACGGUGCUGAAGCGACAAAUGCCCUGCUUCCAGGAAAAGCCUCUAAGCAUCAGGUAACAUCAAAUCGUACCCCAAACCGACACAGGUGGUCAGGUAGAGAAUACCAAGGCGCUUGAGAGAACUCGGGUGAAGGAACUAGGCAAAAUGGUGCCGUAACUUCGGGAGAAGGCACGCUGAUAUGUAGGUGAAGCGACUUGCUCGUGGAGCUGAAAUCAGUCGAAGAUACCAGCUGGCUGCAACUGUUUAUUAAAAACACAGCACUGUGCAAACACGAAAGUGGACGUAUACGGUGUGACGCCUGCCCGGUGCCGGAAGGUUAAUUGAUGGGGUUAGCGGCAACGCGAAGCUCUUGAUCGAAGCCCCGGUAAACGGCGGCCGUAACUAUAACGGUCCUAAGGUAGCGAAAUUCCUUGUCGGGUAAGUUCCGACCUGCACGAAUGGCGUAAUGAUGGCCAGGCUGUCUCCACCCGAGACUCAGUGAAAUUGAACUCGCUGUGAAGAUGCAGUGUACCCGCGGCAAGACGGAAAGACCCCGUGAACCUUUACUAUAGCUUGACACUGAACAUUGAGCCUUGAUGUGUAGGAUAGGUGGGAGGCUUUGAAGUGUGGACGCCAGUCUGCAUGGAGCCGACCUUGAAAUACCACCCUUUAAUGUUUGAUGUUCUAACGUUGGCCCGUAAUCCGGGUUGCGGACAGUGUCUGGUGGGUAGUUUGACUGGGGCGGUCUCCUCCUAAAGAGUAACGGAGGAGCACGAAGGUUGGCUAAUCCUGGUCGGACAUCAGGAGGUUAGUGCAAUGGCAUAAGCCAGCUUGACUGCGAGCGUGACGGCGCGAGCAGGUGCGAAAGCAGGUCAUAGUGAUCCGGUGGUUCUGAAUGGAAGGGCCAUCGCUCAACGGAUAAAAGGUACUCCGGGGAUAACAGGCUGAUACCGCCCAAGAGUUCAUAUCGACGGCGGUGUUUGGCACCUCGAUGUCGGCUCAUCACAUCCUGGGGCUGAAGUAGGUCCCAAGGGUAUGGCUGUUCGCCAUUUAAAGUGGUACGCGAGCUGGGUUUAGAACGUCGUGAGACAGUUCGGUCCCUAUCUGCCGUGGGCGCUGGAGAACUGAGGGGGGCUGCUCCUAGUACGAGAGGACCGGAGUGGACGCAUCACUGGUGUUCGGGUUGUCAUGCCAAUGGCACUGCCCGGUAGCUAAAUGCGGAAGAGAUAAGUGCUGAAAGCAUCUAAGCACGAAACUUGCCCCGAGAUGAGUUCUCCCUGACUCCUUGAGAGUCCUGAAGGAACGUUGAAGACGACGACGUUGAUAGGCCGGGUGUGUAAGCGCAGCGAUGCGUUGAGCUAACCGGUACUAAUGAACCGUGAGGCUUAACCUU